This 249-nucleotide long non-coding RNA is filed under the name Calidris pugnax (ruff). RNAcentral describes it as "lncRNA (ENSCPUG00000016231.1)". The record is from RNAcentral. Lineage: Eukaryota; Metazoa; Chordata; Aves; Charadriiformes; Scolopacidae.
CCCAAUAGCACUCUAGAAGCGGGCUGUCCUCCAGUUCCUACUAUCAAAGGCCAGAGGGAAUGCACUAAAGAGCUCUUCAGUUCAACUUCUCUUCAACACCUACAGCAACAGUGCUCUUCUUGGAGACAAGCCUUGAGGGAGAACAUGGGCCUGCGAUGAUGCUUUCCCAUCUGUAUAGGUGACGUUAUGUGUUGAAAAGGGUUGCAGUACGGCAUCAUAAACCUCUGCUGAUGACAAAACAUUCUGAAG